RNAcentral lists this ribosomal RNA (626 nucleotides) under Zyras collaris. Its description in RNAcentral is "partial 16S ribosomal RNA". The stretch from base 385 to 543 matches the Rfam family "Bacterial large subunit ribosomal RNA", at positions 2473 to 2632 of the family's 2925-position model. Lineage: Eukaryota; Metazoa; Arthropoda; Insecta; Coleoptera; Staphylinidae. The record is from RNAcentral.
GUCUUUUUGAUUUUAAUUUAAAGUCUAACCUGCCCAAUGAGUAAUUAAAUGGCCGCAGUAUUUUGACUGUGCAAAGGUAGCAUAAUCAUUAGUUUCUUAAUUAGGGACUGGAAUGAAAGGUUGGACGAGAAAAUAACUGUCUCUUUAUAAAUUGUUUAAAAUUUUAUUUUUAAGUUAAAAAGCUUAAAUAUUUUUAAAAGACGAGAAGACCCUAUAGAGUUUAAUUAUGAUAAAUUUAAAUUAAUUAUUGAAUUUUAAUAAUUUUAAUAUUAAAAUAAUUUAAUUGGGGUGAUUGAGAAAUUUAAUAAACUUUUUUUAUAAAAAAACAUUAAUUUAUGAUUUUUUGAUCCAUUAUUUAUGAUUAAAAGAUUAAAUUACCUUAGGGAUAACAGCGUAAUUCCUUUGAAGAGUUCAAAUCGAUAAAGGAGUUUGCGACCUCGAUGUUGGAUUAAAAUUUAAUUUUGGUGUAGUCGCUAAAAUAUUAGGUCUGUUCGACCUUUAAAAUUUUACAUGAUCUGAGUUUAAACCGGUGUAAGCCAGGUUGGUUUCUAUCUUUAAUUAUAUAUUAUAUUUUAGUACGAAAGGAUUAAAUAUAAUAAAAAUUUUAUUUAAAAUUGAAUAUUAAU